GAACGCUGGCGGCGUGCUUAACACAUGCAAGUCGAACGGACAGGCCCUGCUUUUGUGGGGUGCUCGAGUGGCGAACGGGUGAGUAACACGUGAGUAACCUGCCCUUGACUUUGGGAUAACUUCAGGAAACUGGGGCUAAUACCGGAUAGGAGCUCCUGCUGCAUGGUGGGGGUUGGAAAGUUUCGGCGGUUGGGGAUGGACUCGCGGCUUAUCAGCUUGUUGGUGGGGUAGUGGCUUACCAAGGCUUUGACGGGUAGCCGGCCUGAGAGGGUGACCGGCCACAUUGGGACUGAGAUACGGCCCAGACUCCUACGGGAGGCAGCAGUGGGGAAUAUUGCACAAUGGGCGGAAGCCUGAUGCAGCAACGCCGCGUGCGGGAUGACGGCCUUCGGGUUGUAAACCGCUUUCGCCUGUGACGAAGCGUGAGUGACGGUAAUGGGUAAAGAAGCACCGGCUAACUACGUG
This 465-nucleotide ribosomal RNA is filed under the name uncultured bacterium. RNAcentral describes it as "partial 16S ribosomal RNA". It matches the Rfam family "Bacterial small subunit ribosomal RNA", at positions 31 to 507 of the family's 1533-position model. The record is from RNAcentral.